AUUGAACGCUGGCGGCAUGCCUUACACAUGCAAGUCGAACGGCAGCACGGGGCAACCUGGUGGCGAGUGGCGAACGGGUGAGUAAUGCAUCGGAACGUACCUUUCAGUGGGGGAUAACGUAGCGAAAGUUACGCUAAUACCGCAUAUUCUGUGAGCAGGAAAGCAGGGGAUCGCAAGACCUUGCGCUGAUUGAGCGGCCGAUGUCAGAUUAGCUAGUUGGUGAGGUAAAGGCCCACCAAGGCGACGAUCUGUAGCGGGUCUGAGAGGAUGAUCCGCCACACUGGAACUGGGACACCGUCCAGACGCCUACGGGAGGCAGCGGUGGGGAAUUUUUGACAUUGGGGGCAACCCUGAUCCAGCCAUGCCGCGUGAGUGAAAAAGGCCUUCGGGUUGUAAAGCUCUUUCGGCCGGGAAGAAAUCGCACGGGCUAAUACCCUGUGUGGAUGACGGUACCGGAAUAAGAAGCACCGGCUAACUACGUGCCAGCCGCCGCCGUAA
RNAcentral lists this ribosomal RNA (498 nucleotides) under uncultured bacterium. RNAcentral's name for it is "partial 16S ribosomal RNA". It matches the Rfam family "Bacterial small subunit ribosomal RNA", at positions 30 to 523 of the family's 1533-position model. The record is from RNAcentral.